This 2891-nucleotide ribosomal RNA is filed under the name Vibrio parahaemolyticus. RNAcentral's name for it is "23S ribosomal RNA". It matches the Rfam family "Bacterial large subunit ribosomal RNA". The record is from RNAcentral. Lineage: Bacteria; Pseudomonadati; Pseudomonadota; Gammaproteobacteria; Vibrionales; Vibrionaceae.
GGUUAAGUGACUAAGCGUACACGGUGGAUGCCUUGGCAGUCAGAGGCGAUGAAAGACGUAGUAACUUGCGAUAAGCCCAGAUUAGGUAGUAACAACCAUUUGAGUCUGGGAUUUCUGAAUGGGGAAACCCACGUGCAUAAGCACGUAUCCUUACCUGAAUACAUAGGGUAAGGAGGCGAACCGGGGGAACUGAAACAUCUAAGUACCCCGAGGAAAAGAAAUCAACCGAGAUUCCGAAAGUAGCGGCGAGCGAAAUUGGACUAGCCCUUAAGCUUUACACGCGUUAGACGAACGGUCUGGAAAGUCCGACGAUACAGGGUGAUAGUCCCGUAGUUGACGACGUGUGUUCAGUGAAAUCGAGUAGGGCGGGACACGUGAUAUCCUGUCUGAAUAUGGGGGGACCAUCCUCCAAGGCUAAAUACUACUGACUGACCGAUAGUGAACCAGUACCGUGAGGGAAAGGCGAAAAGAACCCCUGUGAGGGGAGUGAAAUAGAACCUGAAACCGUGUACGUACAAGCAGUAGGAGCAGGCUUUGUCCUGUGACUGCGUACCUUUUGUAUAAUGGGUCAGCGACUUAUAUUCAGUGGCAAGGUUAACCAUCUAGGGGAGCCGUAGGGAAACCGAGUCUUAACUGGGCGUUCAGUCUCUGGAUAUAGACCCGAAACCAGGUGAUCUAGCCAUGGGCAGGUUGAAGGUUGAGUAACAUCAACUGGAGGACCGAACCGACUAAUGUUGAAAAAUUAGCGGAUGACUUGUGGCUAGGGGUGAAAGGCCAAUCAAACCUGGAGAUAGCUGGUUCUCCCCGAAAGCUAUUUAGGUAGCGCCUCGGACGAAUACUACUGGGGGUAGAGCACUGUUAAGGCUAGGGGGUCAUCCCGACUUACCAACCCUUUGCAAACUCCGAAUACCAGUAAGUACUAUCCGGGAGACACACGGCGGGUGCUAACGUCCGUCGUGGAGAGGGAAACAACCCAGACCGCCAGCUAAGGUCCCAAAUUACUACUAAGUGGGAAACGAUGUGGGAAGGCUCAGACAGCCAGGAUGUUGGCUUAGAAGCAGCCAUCAUUUAAAGAAAGCGUAAUAGCUCACUGGUCGAGUCGGCCUGCGCGGAAGAUGUAACGGGGCUAAGUAGUAAACCGAAGCUGCGGCAAUGUGCUUUUGCACAUUGGGUAGGGGAGCGUUCUGUAAGCGGUUGAAGGUGUGUGGUAACGCAUGCUGGACGUAUCAGAAGUGCGAAUGCUGACAUGAGUAACGAUAAAGGGGGUGAAAAACCUCCUCGCCGGAAGACCAAGGGUUCCUGUCCAACGUUAAUCGGGGCAGGGUAAGUCGACCCCUAAGGCGAGGCCGAAAGGCGUAGUCGAUGGGAAACGGGUUAAUAUUCCCGUACUUCUUACAAUUGCGAUGGGGGGACGGAGAAGGCUAGGUGGGCCUGGCGACGGUUGUCCAGGUUCAAGUGCGUAGGCUUAAGAGUUAGGUAAAUCCGGCUCUUUUUAAGGCUGAGACACGACGUCGAGCACCUACGGGUGUGAAGUCAUUGAUGCCAUGCUUCCAGGAAAAGCCUCUAAGCUUCAGAUUGUAAGGAAUCGUACCCCAAACCGACACAGGUGGUCGGGUAGAGAAUACCAAGGCGCUUGAGAGAACUCGGGUGAAGGAACUAGGCAAAAUGGUACCGUAACUUCGGGAGAAGGUACGCUCUUGAUGGUGAAGUCCCUUGCGGAUGGAGCUAUUGAGAGUCGCAGAUACCAGGUGGCUGCAACUGUUUAUUAAAAACACAGCACUGUGCAAAAUCGUAAGAUGACGUAUACGGUGUGACGCCUGCCCGGUGCCGGAAGGUUAAUUGAUGGGGUUAGACUUCGGUCGAAGCUCUUGAUCGAAGCCCCGGUAAACGGCGGCCGUAACUAUAACGGUCCUAAGGUAGCGAAAUUCCUUGUCGGGUAAGUUCCGACCUGCACGAAUGGCGUAAUGAUGGCCACGCUGUCUCCACCCGAGACUCAGUGAAAUUGAAAUCGCUGUGAAGAUGCAGUGUACCCGCGGCUAGACGGAAAGACCCCGUGAACCUUUACUACAGCUUGGCACUGAACAUUGACCCUACAUGUGUAGGAUAGGUGGGAGGCUUUGAAGCACGUACGCCAGUAUGUGUGGAGCCGUCCUUGAAAUACCACCCUUGUAGUGUUGAUGUUCUAACGUCGACCCCUUAUCGGGGUUGCGGACAGUGCCUGGUGGGUAGUUUGACUGGGGCGGUCUCCUCCCAAAGAGUAACGGAGGAGCACGAAGGUGGGCUAAUCACGGUUGGACAUCGUGAGGUUAGUGCAAUGGCAUAAGCCCGCUUGACUGCGAGAAUGACAAUUCGAGCAGGUGCGAAAGCAGGUCAUAGUGAUCCGGUGGUUCUGAAUGGAAGGGCCAUCGCUCAACGGAUAAAAGGUACUCCGGGGAUAACAGGCUGAUACCGCCCAAGAGUUCAUAUCGACGGCGGUGUUUGGCACCUCGAUGUCGGCUCAUCACAUCCUGGGGCUGAAGUCGGUCCCAAGGGUAUGGCUGUUCGCCAUUUAAAGUGGUACGCGAGCUGGGUUUAGAACGUCGUGAGACAGUUCGGUCCCUAUCUGCCGUGGGCGUUGGAAGAUUGAAGGGGGCUGCUCCUAGUACGAGAGGACCGGAGUGGACGAACCUCUGGUGUUCGGGUUGUGUCGCCAGACGCAUUGCCCGGUAGCUAAGUUCGGAAUCGAUAACCGCUGAAAGCAUCUAAGCGGGAAGCGAGCCCUGAGAUGAGUCUUCCCUGAUACUUUAAGUAUCCUAAAGGGUUGUCGGAGACUACGACGUUGAUAGGUCAGGUGUGUAAGUGCUGUGAGGCAUUGAGCUAACUGAUACUAAUUGCCCGUGAGGCUUAACCAU